GAGACCACAUCUUAUGCAUGGAGUUGAUCUAUAGAUUAUUUUAUUUUGUGGAUGAUAUUAGAUAUAUAACAAAAACAUUAUUUUAAGAAAAAUGUUAUAUCGAUUAUUAUAACAAUAUUUGGUAGGACCAGCUUUGAUAUUUGAAAAUAUGGUUUGGUUAUUUACUUUUUUUUUUUCAAAUAGAUUUUGUUUAGAUACACUUUGAGGCGCCUUUCGGUAAGUAAUAGGUUUGGGCAUUCGGGGUUUCUGGGUCGGAUUUGAAUAUGAUCCAUUAGGGUUCG
This 281-nucleotide long non-coding RNA is filed under the name Capsella rubella. RNAcentral's name for it is "long non-coding RNA (CRUB_LNC000794)". The record is from RNAcentral. Lineage: Eukaryota; Viridiplantae; Streptophyta; Magnoliopsida; Brassicales; Brassicaceae.